This 22-nucleotide non-coding RNA is filed under the name Rattus norvegicus (Norway rat). Lineage: Eukaryota; Metazoa; Chordata; Mammalia; Rodentia; Muridae. The record is from RNAcentral.
UAGAAGCUUCGGCUAGGGAUGG